UUUUAUGGGAUUAUUUAUUAGUUUAAUGGUUCUGCCUAUCUACUUACUAUGUCGUACUAUAUGUGUCCAGUAAGUGGCAGUAAUGCACCAAAUAUAGGCGUGCCGACUGCCAAAAUCCAACAGAAAAGAAGAAGAACAAGAAAGGUGGAGGGUACUGUCUGCUGAGGGAAACCAUGGACCAUGUUCUUUUUUGUUGCAAUAAAUAUGCUGUCCAAAGGAAAAUUUUGUUUUCUUCUCUUAAACACAAGGGUCACAAAGAAUUUUCUUGGACAGGAUUGCUUUCUUAUGGGAAGAAGAAGAAGAAGAAGAAGAAGAAGGCUGGAGGGAAACUAUUGUUUGCUGCCUUUUCCCCCCUUUCAAUUGACCCAUUUAUUGAGAUAUCUCAGGAUUUCUUGCUCAAUAAGGGGAUUUGUGUUUCUGGUGUAUCAUGGACUCAAAGAAGAGCUUUCCCUGUGGAUUCUGUUAUCAUUCCUGGAAAUAACUGGGUGGACUAAAGUAUUUUGAAGAUGCAAGCAAAGGACUAUUGGUGAGCUCCAUCCAUGUUAAAGCUUUAUACCUGGAAACAUUCUGCAAGGACUGUGCUUAUUGAACUCUAUUGGAAAUUCUAAUGGGUCUGUAAAUGUGCUUUGUUGUUGUUGUUGCUGCUGCUGUUUUUUUUUCUUUUUCUUUAUGUCCUUACUGAUACAAUUUGUAAAUAUAUCAUUCACCGGGUGCGCUGUGCACGCGGCUACAGUAAAACAGUUCAGACGCGCACACCAGUUUUCACCAGUUUUCGGUGUAGAUUAUGGAAUGCGGAGCGGAGAGGGGGUUUAAUCUCUUACUGGCAGUUGGCAGCAGGAAGGAGCAGCAGUCAGUGGCAGCAGUCGAUCACUACUGGUUGUAGGAUUGAGCUGCCAAUGGCAGCCGCCUAUUCUGAGUGUCUAAAAAUGGCAGCAGGAAGGAGCGGUCAGUGGCGGCCUUCAAUCACUAUAGAGGUAGGUUUAAGCCACAGGCAGCUGCCAGUUGAGUCGCGGCUGAAAAUGACGGUAGCAGCCUUGAGGCUGAACGUUUCAAUUAACAGCUGACAGCAGGAGGCGCCCGUCUCUCCGUAAUAUUUGGGCGUAGCUGUGCAGUGGCGCUGCGAAGGUAGGAGGGUGUAUUCAUGAACGCAAAACUCGGCGGACGAAUCACAGCUGCUGCCACAACGCCGCGCGCGUAGUUACAUUUCUAGUGAAGUGCACGUUAAGCAAGGGUCGUACAGACGUAGAUUAUACGCAGAAGCGUAAAUUGCCCUUUUGUUUUGGUACCGUCCAGGGGCCUCAUUUAUAAAGAGUGCGUACGCAUAAAAAGAGGGCAGAAAUGUGCGUAAGCAACAUCUCACGCAAGAAUUGUGAUUUAUAAAGAAAUACUUGGCGUGAAAACAAGCGUACAUUUAAGCAAGGUUUGAGGCAUGCGUAUGCCUUCAAAAGUGUGCGGAGAGAGCGGGAAUUAGUGGCAUCAUGUGGUAAAGUAGGGAAUUGUAAGUAAAUGCGCAAGUUUUUCUUCCUUCCGCAUCUUAGAUACCACAUAAAUCAAAAUUAACAAAGGAAGAUAUUUUUUUUCUGCAUGUAUAGUUAAAAUUAUUUCUGUAUCUUAUUCUGUAUUAUAUGUAUAUGUAGUGUUAAUUUUCCACUAACUUGUAUAUUUCACUUUGAAUAUAUAUAUAUAUAUAUAUGUAAAUAUUAUUAUUAUUAUUGCAACAAAUUAUACUCUAUAAUAAAGAGAGAGGAAAGUGUUAAGGGCUGGUAAUAGUUGCAGAUAAUUACGAUCAUAAACAGCUGUACCUAAUUGCAUAAAAUAACAGCUCUAGAAAUAGGCAGAAAAUAGUGAGGCGCUGUCUGUUAUAAUGGCGUUUUUGGCAUUACUUGAGUAAUUAAUUAAGUAAUUUGGCAUUACUUGAUUACAGUUGCAGUCAAUUUUUUUCUGUGCAAAGCAAUUUGCUUCUUUGCGUCGACUUUUAAAUCUGACCACUUUUUCUUUACCUCUGCAAUAGUUCGGCUUGUGGAGCUCACAUUGUUUACUGCUGCAGCCACAUGCUGCCACUCAACAAACUUGCGUUUGUUGGUAAUGCCACUACUAAGGCCACCAAACAACACAUCCUUCCUUGCCUCAACCUCUGAAACAAGGACUUCCUCUUCACAAUCUCCAAAAUUUCGCUUCUUUGCUUUGCGUUCCUCCAUCAUCCCGAUCAGAAUGAAUGGGGAAUCACUCAUUUAAAUAUUUAUUGGGUGAUUUGCAUGGACUUUUCAUGGGUAAAUGUGGGUGGUACGGAGGCGGAGCGCGAGGCUUGGUAAGCUGCGCACAUUUAUAAGCAGAUUGUGAUUUAUAAAGAGGAAACUGCGUUCAGGUGUGUGUACGCACACUUUUUUAAAUCUGAUUUUUUUUGGACGUACGCCAUUUCCUGUUUUUUUGUGCGUACGCACACUCUCACUUCAGAACCUACGCAGAGUUUUAUAAAUGAGGCCCCAGGUGUUUACAAUGUGAGUAUCUUUUAUGAAAAUGACAUAUGAAAUGCAGCCGACCUUACAGUACAAACUAAUAUUAGUAAUAUUGAUAGAUUUAGGUUGGUGUUGCUAGAAAGCUUAAUAACACUGAUUAUGUCGCCAUGCAUCCAAUUUAAUACCACCUUUUUAAUUAGCUGACUCAGCCGAUCUCUGAUAGCUAGCUAAAUAGCUAGCAUCACGACCUUGCAACUAAAGUAACGUUAUAUUUGUUUAACACUAAACCCAGUUCAUGAGUAUUUAUUAUAUUGCAUGUUUUAAGAAAACACUAAAAUGAAGAGGACCGGACAGCACUCGUAUAAUGUCCAGUAUAUUUGACUCACAGAUAAAACACGAACGUUUCGGCACUUAGACCUUGAAGGUCUAAGUGCUGUCCGAUCCUCUUAAUUUUUGCGGAUUGUUUUUUGCUGAUUUAGCACGUGAGAAGUAUUUGGGAGGGCAGCCUGUUUUUUUUUUUACUUUUUUAAAUAAAAACACUAAUUAUGAAAUUCAUGGGGAAACAUAAUGGUGAUGUUUAGUCAGUGUUUUAUAUGUCUAAAAAAAAUAGAAUGAUCUUUUUUUUUGCUGUAAAUGCAGUAGAACAAAUUUUCGAACAAUUUUCUGAUUUUCUUGUUACUUGUUUUCUACUUAAUGCUGUGUUAUGUACAUAUUUUACUAGAAUGCAGAGUCUGCUAAGAAUUAAAAAAACAAAAGCAAAAAAAUUUAAUUUCUCUGACCUCAUGGUAAAAUAGUGACUCCUCUGGACUUAAAAUGUAUAAACUGGAAAUCUUUCAUUAGAUACUCACACUGGCCAUUCAUUUACUUUACUAUCUAUCUGUCUGUCUGUCUGUCUGUCUGUCUGUCU
Astyanax mexicanus (Mexican tetra) is the source of this 3363-nucleotide long non-coding RNA. RefSeq lists it as uncharacterized. The transcript is spliced from 3 exons. The record is from RefSeq and is a predicted model, not a curated record. Lineage: Eukaryota; Metazoa; Chordata; Actinopteri; Characiformes; Acestrorhamphidae.